GACGAACGCUGGCGGCGUGCUUAACACAUGCAAGUCGAACGGAAAGGCUCCAGCUUGCUGGCGUACUCGAGUGGCGAACGGGUGAGUAACACGUGGGUAAUCUGCCCUGCACUCUGGGAUAAGCCUGGGAAACUGGGUCUAAUACUGGAUAUGACCUUUCUCCUUAUGGGGUUUGGUGGAAAGUUUUUCGGUGUAGGAUGAGCCCGCGGCCUAUCAGCUUGUUGGUGGGGUGAUGGCCUACCAAGGCGACGACGGGUAGCCGGCCUGAGAGGGUGAUCGGCCACAUUGGGACUGAGAUACGGCCCAGACUCCUACGGGAGGCAGCAGUGGGGAAUAUUGCACAAUGGGCGGAAGCCUGAUGCAGCGACGCCGCGUGAGGGAUGACGGCCUUCGGGUUUUAAACCUCUUUCAGCAGGGACGAAGCGUAAGUGACGGUACCUGCAGAAGAAGCACCGGCUAACUAUGUG
RNAcentral lists this ribosomal RNA (467 nucleotides) under uncultured bacterium. Its description in RNAcentral is "partial 16S ribosomal RNA". It matches the Rfam family "Bacterial small subunit ribosomal RNA", at positions 28 to 507 of the family's 1533-position model. The record is from RNAcentral.